Molecule: ribosomal RNA, 397 nt
Filed under: Trichomycterus sp. UFRJ_9708
Lineage: Eukaryota; Metazoa; Chordata; Actinopteri; Siluriformes; Trichomycteridae
Description: partial 12S ribosomal RNA
Rfam family: Bacterial small subunit ribosomal RNA
Source: RNAcentral
UACCCCACUAUGCUUAGCCAUAAACCUAGAUAUUAAUGUCCGCCAGGGUACUACGAGCGCAGCUUAAAACCCAAAGGACUUGGCGGUGCCUCAGAUCCCCCUAGAGGAGCCUGUUCUAGAACCGAUAACCCCCGUUAAACCUUACCAUCCCUUGUUUUUCCCGCCUAUAUACCACCGUCGUCAGCUUACCCUGUGAAGGUAAAACAGUAAGCAAGAUGGGCAAACCCCAAAACGUCAGGUCGAGGUGUAGCGUACGAGAUGGAAAGAAAUGGGCUACAUUUUCUACCACAGAAUACUACGAAUAGCGUUUUGAAACAGACGCUUGAAGGAGGAUUUAGCAGUAAAAAGCAAGCAGAGUGUCCUUUUGAAAUAGGCUCUGAGGCGCGCACACACCGCC